AUAGGCAAACGAAAAGCAGGGUAAGGAAAGAAAGAAAGAAGAAAGAAAAGAAAAAGGGAGAAUUAGGGUUUGAAGGUUUGAAAGUUUAAUAGGUAAGUUAAUUUAGCCCUUUUUACUUAAUUUUAAUGUUUUAAAAGCUUUAGAACAAAGUUUUGAUGAAAUUAAAUUAAUAUUUUGAAAGUUAUUAGAAUUCUAAAUAUUGUUCAUGUUGAAUAAUAAAAAAUGAAAUAGGGGUUUAAUUGAAUGAAAUUCAAGUUAAAAUAGAUAUAAGGAUCGAAUUGCAAAGUAAGCUAUAAGUUUUGUAUUUUAGGGACUAAAUUGAGGAAAAUUUCGGAAUUAAGAAAAUAUGUUGAAAAUUUAAUAGUUAAAAUUGAGUUUAAAUGAAAUUUGAAUAGACAUAAGGUGUGAAUUGGUGUUAUAAAUUUGGUUAUUAACAUUUUACAUCAAAACAGUUUUGAAAAGUAGCAAUGGUCUGACUUUGAAAAUUCACUAAAAAUUGUAUACAUUGAACUAGAGGAUGAAAAAAAUAUGUAAUUAAAGCUUAUUGAGUCUAGUUUUUUAUAGUAUAAAUAUUGUAAGCAAUGAAUUGAUGAAUCAAGAGAUAUUUGAAAUUUUGUAAGACUGAUUUGGGGUGAUUUCGAGAUGCCCUGUUUUAACUUUGGAAAAUCAUUAUAAAUUGUAAAAAAAUUAUUAUGGAGUGUAAUUUAUAUGUGUGAACUCCUUAAUGAAUCUAGUUUCAAAAUAAGUAAACAAGAACCUUAUUCGAGUUCUGUACAAUGAAAUAAUUUAUUUUUUGUAGAGAGAGGUCAGAACUGUCAAAUGAAAUAACAGUGGAGUAUUUAAUGAAUAAACUGUACUAAUUGGCUAGACCAAAAAUUCUGAAAAUCUUAUGGUGAGAAGAUAUAUGAGUCUAGUUUUAACGAAAAAUUAUGGAUAUUAAUUUGGAGUUUCGUAGCUCAAGAUAUAAAUAAUUUAGUAACAAUGACUCAAGUAGACAGCUUAAUGGUGAAAUUAUAUAUAUACAUUAAAAAUGGUUAAAUUUGCAUGUUUAGGCUCAUGGAUUAAAUUGAAUUGUGUUAUAUUGAUGAUUAUAAAUUAUUAUUAUUUUCGUAGUUAACAAAGAACCCAAGACAUCGGCGCACAAAGAAAAGGAGAAAGCUAUCGAGGAUUAAAACGAGAAAUUCACGGUUUGUAUUACUAUAAUUCAAAUUACUUUUUAUUAAAUGUUUUAUAUCAAUUCUAUAUUUAAUAAGUGAAUUAUAAGGUAAGUAUUGAUAUUUGAGUUGAAUGAGAAUUGAAUUGAAUGGUGAAUGUGUAUGUAUAAUUGAAUUGUAAAUUGAUUUGAAUGUGAAAGUUUUAAUUGAAAAGUAAUCUUGGAAUGGAAAUGAAAGUGAAUUGAGAAUAGAAAUACCCUAUUAACUAGUCGGGCUGAGUCGGAUAUAAUUGGCAUGCCAUAGGAUAUGGAAGUGUACGAGAUUUGCCGGCUUUACUGAUCAGGCACUUUAUGUGUCGUAUUUUAGGCACCUCGUGUGUCGUAUCAGGCACCUCGUGUGUCGUAUCAGGCACCUCGUGUGUCGUUUUAGGCACUUUAUGUGUCGUUUACUGAUCAGGUACUAUGUACCGUUUUAGGCACAAUGUGCCGUAAUGGUGUGUUGGGUUGGAAUCCGUGUAUCCGUCAAAGUCCAGAUUUGUUAAUAGGGUGAAUAUCUAAGAUGAGAAAUUUAAAAUAAAUUGAUUGAUUAUAUUAUUGAAUAUUGAAAGAAACGAAAAAGUUGAAUAGUGGAUUGAAAUUGAGAUUGAAAAUGAAAGGCAUGAACUUAAUGUUCAUAUAGUGAUUGAAAUUGUUACAUGUAAUAUGUGAUGGAAACUGAAGAAUAGAUAAAAAAAAUUGUAUCGUUAUUAUUAAUUAAUGAAAGUUUAAGAAUGAAUUGAUAUUUGUGAAAUUAGAUAGUUACAUGUUUGGUAAUUAAAAUUCUUUAUUGCUAUUAUAAUUUGAAUUAUGGUAAUACCACUGAGUACGGAAUACUCAGCGUGCGGUUGUUUCUGUGCGCAGGUUAAUAGGAGUCUGAUACCCCGGUCCAGCAUCUGAACGAUCCUGACUCCAGCAAAUUUUGGGUGAUGUUUUCUUUCUUAAUUGAAAGUGGCAUGUACUAGGUGAUUUAUAAGUUAUAUAGAUAUACUUGUAAAGUUAGUUAUAAGAAUGGUAUACCAUAUUUUGUUAUUAGUUUGAUAAAAUGGUAAAUAUUAUAUUAUAUAAUUUGGUAUAAGUUGG
This 2272-nucleotide long non-coding RNA is filed under the name Gossypium barbadense (sea-island cotton). RNAcentral's name for it is "long non-coding RNA (GBAR_LNC001145)". The record is from RNAcentral. Lineage: Eukaryota; Viridiplantae; Streptophyta; Magnoliopsida; Malvales; Malvaceae.